GAGAAGCAAGAUAGUGAUAUCAAGCAAAACUGAAAAAAGACGGUCUCAGUUCGGAUUGAAGGCUGAAAUUGCCUUCAUGAAGUCGGAAUUGCUAGUAAUGGCAGGUCAGCAUACUGCCGUGAAUACGUUCCCGGGCCUUGUACACACCGCCCGUCACACCAUGGGAGUCGGUAACACCCGAAGUCGGUAGCCUAACCGUAAGGAGGGCGCCGCCGAAGGUGGGAUUGAUGACUGGGGUGAAGUCGUAACAAGGUAUC
This 257-nucleotide ribosomal RNA is filed under the name uncultured bacterium. Its description in RNAcentral is "partial 16S ribosomal RNA". It matches the Rfam family "Bacterial small subunit ribosomal RNA", at positions 1244 to 1500 of the family's 1533-position model. The record is from RNAcentral.